RNAcentral lists this ribosomal RNA (173 nucleotides) under uncultured Clostridiaceae bacterium. Its description in RNAcentral is "partial 16S ribosomal RNA". It matches the Rfam family "Bacterial small subunit ribosomal RNA", at positions 337 to 524 of the family's 1533-position model. Lineage: Bacteria; Bacillati; Bacillota; Clostridia; Eubacteriales; Clostridiaceae. The record is from RNAcentral.
UCCUACGGGAGGCAGCAGUGGGGAAUAUUGGGCAAUGGGGGAAACCCUGACCCAGCGACGCCGCGUGAAGGAUGAAGGCCUUAGGGUUGUAAACUUUUUUGGAUGGGGACGAAAUAAAUGACGGUACCCAUCGAACAAGCCACGGCUAACUACGUGCCAGCAGCCGCGGUAAA